UUUCAGUUUUUCCGCUUCUUUUUGUCGCCGUGCAUAAUUGACAGCAUUUGAUAUUUAUAUUUUUCUCCAGAUCUGUCAUGUUUAAUAAAUAUUUUGUUUUGUUCUCACAACCCAUUUUUCCCUGCAGUUGCGAUCUUCGUAGGACGCCCGUAUACGAGAAUCCAAUCGGAUCUGGACUUCCAACGCGGCAACACAGCUGCCUUUUUGAAGAAUCGGACCUAACCCUGUUUCUAUCAGUUGCCUGGGAAGUUCGCUAGCUGACAACUCUCAUUUAUAUCAGUUAGUGGAUCCCCGUCACACCGGUGGCCCCUGCAAGACCGAAUAACGUGUAUGCCAUGAACGCUGCUAUGGAACUGGAACUGCUCUUCCAACGUCUGAAUUCGCUUUAUGUGGUACCGAGUGCGAGUACUACCGACACAACUGGUUUGACGAUGACGAGUAGUAGGUAGCACAAUUAACAUUUACAUUACGGCUGUGCUGCGCGCUAAGAAACGUUAUCCCUGCUUCAUGCAGUACUUCUGCCAAUAUUUGGCUAAAACAAAACAAUUUAUCAAAUGCCGGGAUUUAAAGGAUUUCGGGAUUUCCUGCAUUCCGGAAAACGGUUUUGAUAUUGUGGCCAGAUCUCUGCUUAAUUCGCUUUGGCCUACACGUCGUACGGUUUCUGCUUUUCGACUUACGUCAUACGGAAGACACGACAGUGCAGUGUGCAAGAAUGUCUGCUCUUUCUUAGGAUGUGUUUUACUGCUAGAAAUCUACCAAAAAACCAGAUGCAGUUACUGUACUCCUGUUGCUCGUCAGGGCAUAGUACCGGAAGAUAUCCUUAUGACAACAUCGAUUCGGGAACUGAACCAGUGUCCACAGGCUAAGAGAGGGAUGCAGAUAAUCUUAUGGGCCAAGCGGUUGUCGUGCGCAAAAACCAACUACUGGGAUAUCAAGAAGUUUUAUGCCCAGUCGACACCGUACUUCAAAAAGAUGAGAAAACGGAGCCUUGAAAUUCACCAUUCCGAUAAUCAUAAUGGCGAAGCAAAUGAAUCCUGAUCGGAUGCAGGUGAAACGAAUUGAUGAGGCAUGUAUGAAUUUUGAACGUUUUCUAAGUAUGUUAAAAAAUAUAAUUAAUAAAAUAUAAUUAAAAUAAAAUUAUUAUUUAAGUUCUCCUUCUAA
This is a long non-coding RNA of Armigeres subalbatus, 1161 nucleotides long. RefSeq lists it as uncharacterized. The transcript is spliced from 2 exons. NCBI's taxonomy places the organism in Eukaryota, Metazoa, Arthropoda, Insecta, Diptera, Culicidae. The record is from RefSeq and is a predicted model, not a curated record.